GUUUACGCUAAUACCGCAUAUUCUGUGAGCAGGAAAGAGGGGGGAUCGCAAGACCUCUUGCUUUAGGAGCAGCCGAUGUCGGAUUAGCUAGUUGGUGAGGUAAAGGCUCACCAAGGCGACGAUCCGUAGCGGGUCUGAGAGGAUGAUCCGCCACACUGGGACUGAGACACGGCCCAGACUCCUACGGGAGGCAGCAGUGGGGAAUUUUUGGACAAUGGGCGCAAGCCUGAUCCAGCCAUGCCGCGUGAGUGAAGAAGGCCUUCGGGUUGUAAAGCUCUUUCGGUGGGGAAGAAAUUGCUUCGGUUAAUACCUGGAGUAGAUGACGGUACCCGCAUAAGAAGCACUGGCUAACUACGUG
Molecule: ribosomal RNA, 358 nt
Filed under: uncultured bacterium
Lineage: Bacteria
Description: bacterial SSU rRNA
Rfam family: Bacterial small subunit ribosomal RNA
Source: RNAcentral